CAAUGGGGGAAACCCUGAUGGUGCGACGCCGCGUGGAGGAAGAAGGCCUUCGGGUUGUAAACUCCUGUCAUAAGGGAGCAAGCCUUAUAUGUUAAUAGCAUGUAAGGUUGAUAGUACCUUAAGAGGAAGAGACGGCUAACUCUGUGCCAGCAGCCGCGGUAAUACAGAGGUCUCAAGCGUUGUUCGGAAUUACUGGGCGUAAAGGGUGCGUAGGCUGUUUUGUAAGUUGGAUGUGAAAUCCCGGUGCUCAACACCGGAACUGCAUCUGAAACUGC
Molecule: ribosomal RNA, 275 nt
Filed under: uncultured Verrucomicrobium sp.
Lineage: Bacteria; Pseudomonadati; Verrucomicrobiota; Verrucomicrobiia; Verrucomicrobiales; Verrucomicrobiaceae
Description: partial 16S ribosomal RNA
Rfam family: Bacterial small subunit ribosomal RNA
Source: RNAcentral